GGAGGAGGAGGAGGAGAGGAGCAGUCAGCAGGCCCGAGGAGGCAGGACUUCCUGGUGUGGGGGUUGUCAACAGCCCAGAAAGAGAAAGGCAGAGAGACAGAACCGAGAGGAGCCGAGAAGCGAAGAGAGACCCAGCCGUGCCACGCGGAGGAGUUUUGGGAGACCCACUCGCCCCAACCACCCAGGCGGCUCCACCUGGAGGAUCGGGGGCGGGGGGCGGGGGGGGGGGCAGAGCCGCCUCUUCCCGCACCGGUCUGGAGACCCUUGGGGCUUCAGAGGCCGCGCCUGGGUUCCACCAAGGAGGCGGGGGAUCCUUCUUUUCCGGAGAGCAAACUUUUUACUGAGAUGCCUUGUGGGGCAAAGUGCGGUCCCCGAAGAGAACUGGACAGCCUCUGAUUCCCGCCUGCGCCCCCCGCGCUGCUGGGGCCAAGAGGCCCCAGGGGAAGGACAACCCGACAUCUUAGGCGGCCGGGACCCCCGGCCCAGCUCGGUGGCCGAGGCCGAGAGUUUGCAAACUCAGCUCUGGAGUUGGGCAGCGCCAGCGGCAGGAAAAACCUGCCCCUGCCCCCACCUCCUGCCGCCUCCCCUGCCCUGUGCUCCCUUCACCAACCCAGCACCCCCAGUUCCUGCAGGGCCCUCCGGCCAUGUCGGACCCAGAUGUCCCCAGGGGCCCUGAUGCCCCCGCCAUGUGGCCCCCCUGUUCCAGGGGUGCCUGAGCCCCUUCGAGGAGCCCCAGCUGCACCCCCGCCCACCUUGGCCGAGUCCUAGCCCCAGGGACCAUGAGUGGGGGCAAGAAGAAGAGUAGUUUCCAAAUCACCAGCGUCACCACGGACUAUGAGGGCCCAGGGAGCCCAGGGGGUUCUGAGCCCCCUGCCUUGCCCACCCCCACGGGGCCCCCACCCCGCCUGCCUAAUGGGGAGCCCAACCCCGAGCAGGGGGGCAAGAGCACCCCCCGGAAUGGCUCCCCACCGCCUGGGGCCCCUGCCUCCCGUUUCCGGGUGGUAAAGCUGCCCCACGGCCUGGGAGAGCCUUACCGCCGAGGCCGUUGGACGUGUGUGGAUGUUUACGAGAGAGACCUGGAGCCCCCAGGCUUUGGCCGCCUCCUGGAGGGAAUUCGAGGGGCCUCAGGAGGCACUGGGGGCAGAUCUCUGGAUUCCAGGUUGGAGCUGGCCAGCUUGGGCCUGGGUGCCCCAACUCCACAGCCAGGCCUGUCUCAGGGCCCCACCUCCUGGCUCCGUCCGCCCCCCACCUCCCCUGGACCUCAGGCCCGCUCCUUAACCGGGGGGCUGGGCCAGCUGGCAAUGCCUGGCAAGGCCAAGGUGGAGACACCCCCACUGUCAGCCUCCCCACCCCAGCAGCGCCCCCCAGAGCCCCGGACUGGGGAUAGCGCGGGCCCAUCCCGGGCUGCCACGCCCCUGCCAUCCCUGAGGGUGGAAGUGGAGGCUGGGGGCUCAGCAACAGGGACCUCUCCCCUGUCCCGGUCAAAGGAUGGAGCCCUGCGGCUGAGGAUGGAGUUGGUCGCUCCAGAGGAGAUGGGGCAGGUGCCCCCACUCGACUCUCGCCCCGGCUCCCCAGCCCUUUACUUGUUCCCCGAUGCCAGUCUGGUUCACAAGUCUCCAGACCCCUUUGGAGCAGCAGCAGCCCAGAGCCUCAGCCUGGCCCGCUCCAUGCUGGCCAUCAGUGGCCACCUGGACAGCGAUGAUGAUAGCGGCUCCGGAAGCCUGGUUGGCAUUGACAACAAGAUCGAACAAGCCAUGGUUUUCUUCUGGAAACAAAAAGCUAAGUCAACCUUCUUGGAACACCAUGAUUCCCAGAAAAGUGUAUUGAAGGUGGAGAAGACUCCCAAGGUGGUUGAGACUUUCAAGUUGGUUGAGCCCUGCAAAGAGGCUAAGAUUUCCAAGAUGGUGGAGUCCCCCGAGGUGGCUGAUGCCUGCGAGUUGGCCAAAGCAACAGAUAGGGCUAAGGUGGAGCCGGGUCAUAGGGCCCGAUCCCUGCUGCAGCUGCCCCGGACAGCUGUCAAGUCUGUCUCCAUGCUCAUGGUCUCGGCCCUGCAGAGCGGCUGGCAAAUGUGCAGCUGGAAGUCAUCUGUGAGUUCUACCUCCAUUUCCUCCCAAAUGAGGUCUGGGUCCCCAGUGGAUACGUCGGAAGCUGAGAUGCUGCGGGAAGUGUACCUGAUACUAUGGGUCAUUCGGAGACAACUGCGACAGCUGGCCCGCAGGCAGGAGAGGCGGAGGCGGCGCCACAUCCGGGCCCACACUGGCUCCCGGCCUGACACGGCUCAGGGCCUGAAACAGGAUGCCCGGAGUCCCCUUUAGGGGGGAACCCCACAUCCUCAAAAAGCCCCACCUCAGUCUUAGGUAAGGUUGAUAGGAGAGGUUAGGACAGCAGGCCAGGAGUUGUGUGUGAGAAGUUUUCAUACUGUCACCUCUCUCAUCGGGAGCCUAAGCCCAGGUGUGGGGUCCCACUUAUUCCCCUUCAUUCCAUUUAUUCAAUUUGUAAAAAAAAAAAAAAAAAAAAAAAAAAAAUUAUCAAAAGUUGGGAAAUAAAUAUCAGAUAUUUCUGAGUAAAUGGAGAGUGUGUUUGUGGAUAGCCAGAAGCAAUGAGGGGAACUCGGAGGGGGCACCUCAGGUCCUGCCCCAAAUAUGCGUGGGAGAAGUUUGUGGGCUUGGGGGAGGGGGCUUUGGGGGGAUCAACACAUCCAGGCCCUAGGCCCAAACCCACCUCCAGGGGCUGAAUUGCCUUUGGCAACCCUGCCAGGCCGGGAGUGCAGCAGCACCCUUUACAGAGACACGCCACCUCGCAUCAGGUCCUGAGCCCAUGCUCUCCUGGGCAAUCUUACAAGAUGGGUGUUUUGCAGAGGUUAAGUGGGUUGUGUAAAGCCGGAGGGCAAAGAUCUGCUGGAAACUGCCGGCUCCAGCGGCCAGCGCACUGACGAGCCCCUCUGGCGCUCGAGGGCUCCGCCGCAGCGAGGUUGGUGGGUCCGAAGACUCCUACCCGGGAGCCGGACACGCGACGGUGGGGAAAGCACGCAGGCCCAGCUGGCCGCGCCCCUGCCGAGAGCUGCGCAAAACUACACCUCCCAGGGUUCCCAGCGGUGCCACGGGCGGGGGCGGGGGCGCGGGGACGCAGGGGAGACCUGGGGUGGUGCGGCGGAUGGGCAAAGGCGCCCCAGGGCCGAGAGUCCUGCUUCCCGGAGCGGCAAGACUGAGAUUAACUGAAGGAGAAGAUUGUACAUCCCAGGGCUGAAAAUGCUGUCUGCCCCUUGCUGGAGCUGCCUAUCUGUCCCGUGGGGGUCAUUCUGGGGUGCUGGGAAUGGCCUAAGGGCUUCACGGAGUGCCGGGGUUGACUUCUAGAGACAAGCAAAACCCUCAGGGGGCAGAUCAUUAGCAGUGCACAAGAGAUACAGCCAACUCAGAAAAACCCAUCCUUCCUAGCUGUGUGACCUUGAGCAACAGGUGCAUCUGCCAUCCUACACCGAAUUUGGCUUUCUACAGGACCAUGGAGGUCUUCAUAGAGCCUGGCCCAAGGGAUCUACUCUCUUCUGAUGGAUAGUGCUCUGUGACAUGACCUGAUGCUGCUCCUCAGUGGGACCUGUACCUGUUAACAAGUACAUGCUUACAUGUGUGUGUGUUGGGGGUCACCUCAUCGGCCAAAGCAUAACUACCCCUUGCAGGUGAGAGUGUCUUGUAGGCAAGAUGAGAUUUUCCUGGUGGGAUCUCUGGGGCGUACAGGACAAGUGGAUGAGCCCUAUGAACCAGGCAUGUUGAUCCUCCAAGCUGAUAUUAUAAGGGCUAUGAAGAGGACUCCCCCCCCACCCUCCCAGAACCACACUGGGCACCCUGCAGAUUUGAGGGCGGGCAGAGAAGAUCUGGAGAGGAUGGAUAUGGUCUCAGGAACAUCCAGCUCACUGCAUGGAUGCCUCCAGCGCCAAGUGGGGCAGAGAUGAUGCUGGGAGUGGAGUGAUAGAAGCUGGCCUAGGAUCUAGAGAAGAGGAAGAGAAGGAUAUGGAGGACCAGUCUCUUGGAAGUGGAGGAGGGGAGAGAUAUCUAGGCUGCAUUGGGUAAGGGGAACACCCUGAGCUGGGACCACUGGCCUGAAGGUAGAGAAGGAAGAGGAGAUUUUGAUCAGAUUGAGGAACCCUGGUCUUGGUGCCCAAUGUCCCAGCUUAGCUUCGGGCCAUGGUGGGGCUCUCUUGGAAUGAUGGCUUCUCAUUCCAGGGCUUCUCCUGUUCCUCCAUUUGACCUGUGCCCUGUGUUACCUCAGUUCCUUGCUCACUGGAUCACUCCCAAAGCACGGAGCUUGCUCCUGGCAGGAGAUCUGACCUGCUCCACCGCUCCAGCUCUCACUGCACCCACUUUAUGCUUCUAGGGUUUUUUGCCAAGAAGCAGUUGAUCUCCAGCAUCCAUCCUCAGACCUGCCACUUUUAAGUUGCAUCAGGAUACUCGCUGCUUCCUGCGGCGCCUGGCACAUCUUUGGCGACAGCAGUGUGGAAGGCCUCUUUCUCUGCCAAGUUCACUUCCUGCUGGACUACCUGGUUCCUGCUUGUGGCCCCUCCAUCCCUCUAGCCUAGAACCAACCCAAUUCCAGAUCUUUGCUCAGCUCAUUGGUGCCAGAGCAACACGCCUUUCUUCAGCCUAGGAUGCAGAUAGGAAAUGUGCUGGGCAUUUGGGGGGUUUCUUGGGUUAAGGACUGACACAGUGCAUGGCAGAGAGGAGCUUGUCAGGGGUGGGGUGGGGGCUGGGUCCUAAUUCCUAGGGCUCUGCUAGCAGCCCAGGUUUUGGUCUCCUAAAACUCAGUAUCUAAGGCCUCAGUUUCUUGAGCACGCUUCCUGGUUGCCAUGGUUGCCUGAUGCUUUGGACAUGAUCAGUGACCAGCUGUGUGGCUACUCCCUGGACCUUGAGAUGUUGGAGGCCAUUGGAUGGGUAUUGCUGGACAGAGACCCUCACCAUUAACUUCUUCACACAAGACUUCCCCUAAUGGCCCCUCCCUCUGUGCUGAUAUGGCCCCCAUCCCUUUCCCUACAUGGAGGGACCCCAGUGAGUUAUUCCUCUAUAAUGCCAACACCAGGCUUCCCUCCCCAGUGCCUCCAAUACACCACCUGUCUAUCUCCCGCGUCCCACUCUUCCUCCUCCUGUCUUUACCUGUUUCCCUUGGUAACUCUCUGGAGCCUGGGAAAGCCUUCUCAGGACAAGAUGGUCCUUCAUGACCAGAUCCUUCUCACCAAGGGGCCUCCAAUCUCAGCCCCCCAAGGGAUGGGGAUGCUGCCAAGGCUGAUAGCAGACAGCCCAAUGUGGGGCCGAACUCAUGAACCGGGAGAUCACGACCUGAGAUGAAGUUGGUCACUUAACCAACUGAGCCCCCCCAGCUAUCUAUGCCUUCUACCGGAUCUUCCACAGCAGUUUUCAGUAAGAUAAAGCAUGUGAAAACACUCAAACUGCAAAGUGGCAGACAAACAUGCCUGUUGACGGAGUAAUAACCCAUCUGGGGAGAACCUCAAGAGUCAUGAGCCCAACUUAGCACAUUUCACACAAGACAAAAGAGGCUCACAGAACUGAGAGGACCUGGCCCAAGGAACACAGGAAACGGGCAAGCGAUCCAGUCUCCUGCCCUGCAAUCCCCCGAGCCUUUUUUUUUUUCUUUUUAAAAACUGUACUCAACAUA
RNA transcript from Felis catus (domestic cat), 5661 nucleotides. It is a transcript of the gene named TSC22 domain family member 4, with no coding region annotated. NCBI's taxonomy places the organism in Eukaryota, Metazoa, Chordata, Mammalia, Carnivora, Felidae. The transcript is spliced from 12 exons. The record is from RefSeq and is a predicted model, not a curated record.